GUGGGGAAUAUUGGACAAUGGGCGAAAGCCUGAUCCGGCCAUGCCGCGUGUGUGAAGAAGGUCUUCGGAUUGUAAAGCACUUUAAGUUGGGAGGAAGGGCAGUAAGUUAAUACCUUGCUGUUUUGACGUUACCGACAGAAUAAGCACCGGCUAACUUCGUGCCAGCAGCCGCGGUAAUACGAAGGGUGCAAGCGUUAAUCGGAAUUACUGGGCGUAAAGCGCGCGUAGGUGGUUUUGUAAGUUGGAGGUGAAAUCCCCGGGCUCAACCUGGGAACUGCCUCCAAAACUGCAUGACUAGAGUACGGUAGAGGGUAGUGGAAUUUCCUGUGUAGCGGUGAAAUGCGUAGAUAUAGGAAGGAACACCAGUGGCGAAGGCGACUACCUGGACUGAUACUGACACUGAGGUGCGAAAGCGUGGGGAGCAAACAGGAUUAGAUACCCGAGUAGUCC
RNAcentral lists this ribosomal RNA (450 nucleotides) under uncultured bacterium. RNAcentral describes it as "partial 16S ribosomal RNA". It matches the Rfam family "Bacterial small subunit ribosomal RNA", at positions 354 to 796 of the family's 1533-position model. The record is from RNAcentral.